GAACGCUAGCUACAGGCUUAACACAUGCAAGUCGAGGGGCAUCAGGAAGAAAGCUUGCUUUCUUUGCUGGCGACCGGCGCACGGGUGAGUAACACGUAUCCAACCUGCCCUUUACUCGGGGAUAGCCUUUCGAAAGAAAGAUUAAUACCCGAUAGUAUAAUCAUUCCGCAUGGUCUGAUUAUUAAAGGAUUCCGGUAAAGGAUGGGGAUGCGUUCCAUUAGGUUGUUGGUGAGGUAACGGCUCACCAAGCCUUCGAUGGAUAGGGGUUCUGAGAGGAAGGUCCCCCACAUUGGAACUGAGACACGGUCCAAACUCCUACGGGAGGCAGCAGUGAGGAAUAUUGGUCAAUGGGCGCGAGCCUGAACCAGCCAAGUAGCGUGAAGGAUGACUGCCCUAUGGGUUGUAAACUUCUUUUAUAUUAGAAUAAAGUGCAGUAUGUAUACUGUUUUGUAUGUAUAAUAUGAAUAAGGAUCGGCUAACUCCGUGCCAGCAGCCGCGGUAAUACGGAGGAUCCGAGCGUUAUCCGGAUUUAUUGGGUUUAAAGGGAGCGUAGGUGGACUGGUAAGUCAGUUGUGAAAGUUUGCGGCUCAACCGUAAAAUUGCAGUUGAUACUGUCAGUCUUGAGUACAGUAGAGGUGGGCGGAAUUCGUGGUGUAGCGGUGAAAUGCUUAGAUAUCACGAAGAACUCCGAUUGCGAAGGCAGCUCACUGGACUGCAACUGACACUGAUGCUCGAAAGUGUGGGUAUCAAACAGGAUUAGAUACCCUGGUAGUCCACACAGUAAACGAUGAAUACUCGCUGUUUGCGAUAUACAGUAAGCGGCCAAGCGAAAGCAUUAAGUAUUCCACCUGGGGG
Molecule: ribosomal RNA, 855 nt
Filed under: uncultured organism
Description: SSU rRNA
Rfam family: Bacterial small subunit ribosomal RNA
Source: RNAcentral